UACUCACAUAAGGUGCAGCGGCGGGGAAAGAACAGAGCUUUUUAUUGAUGGGCAAAAAAAGAGCUUCAGCAGGGGAACCAAAUUAGGGUCCGUCAGUAGGCUGGCUGGCUGGCGGCGGCGGCGGCGACGGCGGCGGCGGCGGCGACGGCGGCGGCGGCGACGACGGCGACGGCAACGGCGGCGGCUACAAUCGGCGAUGUCUUCCUCCUCCCGCGCGUCGUAAUCAGGCGGAGGUCGCGGGCGUAGGGCUCCAUCAAGGUCGCCCGUGCAAGAAGUCUCCUCCCUGGAAGAUACUAGUGCUGCGUCCAUGAAAUUUGGCAUAGUGAUCCCUGCUCCCCAAUCCUUGCAGAACUACUGCUCGAUCUUAGGGCUGCAAUCAGGAGGUUUGAAGCUGCAGGUGGUGAUGACUGGCAACCAUGAUUGGAACAGGGCCAAAGAAUUGGAACAGAGGAUGCACUGAGUCAACAAGUUCUGGAGAAGAAUGCAGAGAUUGAACCAAAAAUGUUAUUGGCAGGUGUAUUUACAGGAUUUGUACUGCAUUAAUAGCUAGAAGAAAAAUGUAAUGCCAAAAUCUUGUAAUGGCUGAAUGAUGUAAUGGUUGGAUGAUGUAAUGAUAUUCCAUGCUGCUAUUUAUGUGGUAAUUGAUGGUUCAUUUUGUUA
Long non-coding RNA from Triticum aestivum (bread wheat), 660 nucleotides. RefSeq lists it as uncharacterized. The record is from RefSeq and is a predicted model, not a curated record. NCBI's taxonomy places the organism in Eukaryota, Viridiplantae, Streptophyta, Magnoliopsida, Poales, Poaceae. The transcript is spliced from 2 exons.